CAACCACACUUAAAUGAGUUUCACUUUCAUUGAGGUUAUACUGAUGCUGACUUGUUAUACUGAGAAAGAUACUUUGUUCCACCUCAUAGUUAACACCUUUUAGUGUAAUGCACUAGUUUCAACAGUAACCUUAAUGAAGAUAGGGCUGCUGAAUAGUUUUGGGUAAAUGUCAUUAACAAACUGGCAACUGAAUGCAGUCUGUAUGUACUCACUUAAUCAUCUUGUGGGUGUCUGGGUCUGUGAUUUUGACAGUGCGGGCCACGUUCCAGGACACAUGAAUCAUGGGGACGAUGGAUUUGACCUUCUUUACUUCAUUCCACUCAAACCUCUCCAGGGCCAGCUGGUACUGGUAACCUGCACACACACAUGAAACAAUGUUGAAGAAUGAAAUAUUUGAGAGUAUAGAGUAUUCACCCUGGACUGGUCGCCAGUCAAUAGCAGGGCUGACUCACAAAGACGGACAAUCACACACUCACACCUACGGGCAGUGUAGAUCAGCCAAUUAACCUAAUGUGCAUGUUUUUUGGGACUGUGGGAGGAAACCGGAGUACCCGGAGAAAACCCACGCAGGCACAGGGAGAACAUGCAAACUCCACACAGAAGGGCCCAGACCUGGAACCCUGACAGUGUUAACCGCUGCACCACAAGUUAAUUUCAGAGGGAUCUCGAGUCACCCGCUAUGGAAGACCAACGUAAAAUCCAUUGGUCUCCCACCAACAGCAGGUGUCAGUAGGUGGCGCACUCCUUACCAUUGAGAGGUCCAACGUUCCAGGCAAUGUUGUUGCACCAGCCAACAGCUUGAACCCAGUGAACAGUCCCAGCAUUGAUCCACACCAAGUCUCCAGGCCGUUGGAUGAAGCGGUACACAGGGAUGUUGGCGUUGUAGAGGUCCUCCAAGACUGGCCACCACGAGCCUGUCAGAAAUCACUGAUGGCUUGCCAGUAGUUCUCAUGGACGGAGAACCACUCGCAGUCUCCUGGGCCGAUGUUGAUGUUGACUGAGCAGAAGUUGUUGUUCUCUUGGUGACCUGUUCAAGGACAGAAUUUUAAAAAUGGUAACACAUUUUCUGGGAAUUAAACAGAUCCUAAUCCA
Molecule: long non-coding RNA, 1092 nt
Organism: Scatophagus argus
Lineage: Eukaryota; Metazoa; Chordata; Actinopteri; Scatophagidae
Exons: 3
Source: RefSeq, a predicted model, not a curated record